RNAcentral lists this long non-coding RNA (287 nucleotides) under Panicum hallii. RNAcentral describes it as "long non-coding RNA (PHAL_LNC000711)". The record is from RNAcentral. Lineage: Eukaryota; Viridiplantae; Streptophyta; Magnoliopsida; Poales; Poaceae.
GCCGGGGAGCAAGCGGGGGAGCCCAGAAGCGGAGCCGGCGUGCGACGGAGGAGUUGAAUAUAUGCUUGGCGCGAGCGCUUACGACUCGCUUCCUUAGGGAAAAGGGAUCGCACGCGACUCGCUUCGGAAGGGAAAAGGGAUCCGACGGCGCGCGGGAUUUUUACGGCAGGACGACGGUUACGGGAGCGGCGACGUACGAGCGAAAAAUUUUCGCCAUCUGAGUUUUUUUUAGUUGUAGAGAUUAACAACUAUUUUGUGUUUGAUUAUUGAUUACUUGUUCUCCUCCC